CCAAUCCUAGUUUAUAUAUAUUUAGUUGUCGAUAGACCUUUAUUUUAUUUAUUUAUAUGUGGUGCUGAAAAUCGAACCCAGUGCCUCACCCAGGGCCUUACACAUGCUAGGCGAUCGUUCUACCACUGAGCCACAACCCCAGCGCCUGUACCUAAUUUUUAAGAGUGAAAGGAUCCUUGCCUUUUCAAAAAGAGGGAAGAGAGAACUAAGGUUCUCCAUAGUAGGGAAGUUCUGCAGAACUCCCCUAGAUUCUUAGAAUUGUCCUAGUAGUAUAGGAUUAAGAUGGACAAUAAAAGACUAGAGGUAUAGCUUUGCGAUGGAGCACUUGCCUAGCAUGUGUAAGGCCCUGGAUUUGAUUCCCAGGAAAACAUACACACACACAGAGCAAUAAAACAGGAAAGUCUUUUAAAGCCUUUUACCUCUCACCAAAAUCACCUUUCCCUAUGUCCCUCUCUGCCAGAGAUCUAGCAGACACCAACCUCAGAGAGCAAGAUCUAGAAGUCUAUUGAUUUCUCUAGAUCCCAGAGACCCGGUAAAUAAUUGGGAGUGAUAAUCUAAUCCCACCUCCCAUUCGAUAGGAAAAAAGAGAGCCAAGAGAAGAGAGGUGCCUUAGUAGAGAUCUCUUGCAAGUUUGCAUUAGCACUUGGUAGAGGUGUUUUGUUGUUGUUUGUUUGGGGUGUGUGUGAGAGAGUGAGUGUAUGUUUGUGUGGUCUGGAGAAUGGAACAGGGCUUUAAGGAUGCUAGGGAAGCACUCUAUCACUGAGCCAUACCUCCAUCCUUGGCAUUAACCCUUGAACCCUGGUCUCUAGACUCCUGCUCCUUUGUUCUUUACGCCUUAGCACUCUGAAUCCUUUAUUAGGACUGGGAAACCGGCAACCAUGGCCACUCCCCUCAACCUGCUGGCCUGAGGAAUACCUGAAGCCUAGUUUCAUCCAUGCUGGGAGAAUGGAGCAGGUAGUUCUAAACAGGCCCAAGAAAGGUCCUUAGCAAAGAGGUCCAGAUAGAGGCUGCCCUCCUGCUGCUUCUGGCCCUUCAGCACAGCGGGUCACACUGAAUCCCUGGAAUGGCUUCAGCUCCCUUUUCCACAGAAAUGCUGAAAACCUUUUCCCUGCUUAGGAAACCAGGCUUGGGUUUCUCCAGCUGGAUGGAUAAUGGACUCAGCAAAAGGUCACUCCUAGCCUGGCAUCCAUUAUCAUUAGGAAGAGUGAAAAACUGCUUUGUGGGGACCCUAGGGGUCAUCAAUCUAGUCAAAGAACACCCCAAUCCCAGAAAGGAGCUCUGUGUCUGGGAUAGUAUUUAAAAAAACCACUGAGUAAGGGGCUGGGGAGGUGGCUCAAGCGGUAGCGCGCUCGCCUGGCAUGCGUGCGGCCCGGGUUCGAUCCUCAGUACCACAUACAAACAAAGAUGUUGUAUCCGCCGAAAACUAAAAAAAAUAAUAAUAAUAAAUUAGAAAAACAAAACAACAACAACAAAAAAAAC
Molecule: long non-coding RNA, 1479 nt
Filed under: Marmota monax (woodchuck)
Lineage: Eukaryota; Metazoa; Chordata; Mammalia; Rodentia; Sciuridae
Source: RNAcentral